CGAGGAGCCCGGCUCCUCCGGUCUGUGCGAAGGCGGGCUGCGAUCCCCGCCCCCAGCUGAAGGUCCUCAGCUGUCCCCUGCCCUCCUCACCGCCGCCCCGUCCUGGGAAUCAACAGAGCUGUCCUGGGACCGGAGCCUUCCAGCUCCUGUCCCAGCUCUCCUUCCCAGCUGCCAUGGAACGUGUGCUCCGGCAUUCUGUUACCUUCACCUACCAUGGGAAGCUCCUCAGUUUAAAAUAUUGUACAAAACAAGUUUCAGAAGUGAUGUAUGGCGGGAUUCAAAAGGAUGGACAGGCCACUGGUUGGAGAAGAAGGUGACAGAGACAAUAGGAGAUAAUUUAUUGAGAGAGAAAGUUUAAAUUAAAAAAAAAAAAGCGUGUUGGGAUAAAUUGCCAAAGUUGCUAUAAAGAUUCACUGUGAAUAGAGAA
RNAcentral lists this long non-coding RNA (427 nucleotides) under Equus asinus (donkey). RNAcentral describes it as "lncRNA (ENSEASG00005030070.1)". Lineage: Eukaryota; Metazoa; Chordata; Mammalia; Perissodactyla; Equidae. The record is from RNAcentral.